AUUGAACGCUGGCGGCAUGCCUUACACAUGCAAGUCGAACGGUAACGCGGGGGCAACCCUCGGCGACGAGUGGCGAACGGGUGAGUAAUACAUCGGAACGUACCCACGUAGUGGGGGAGUAGCUCGGCGAAAGACCGGAGUUAAUACCGCAUACGACCUAUGGGUGGAAAGACGGGGGAGUCGCAAGACCUCGCGCUAUUGGAGCGGCCGAUGUCGGAUUAGCUAGUUGGUGAGGUAAAGGCUCACCAAGGCUACGAUCCGUAGCUGGUCUGAGAGGACGACCAGCCACACUGGGACUGAGACACGGCCCA
Molecule: ribosomal RNA, 311 nt
Filed under: uncultured bacterium
Lineage: Bacteria
Description: bacterial SSU rRNA
Rfam family: Bacterial small subunit ribosomal RNA
Source: RNAcentral